CAAGUCGAGCGAGAAAGUGUAGCAAUACAUGAGUAAAGCGGCGCACGGGUGAGUAACACGUGGAUAACCUGCCUCAAAGUGGGGAAUAACACCGGGAAACCGGUGCUAAUACCGCAUAUUCUGACGAGAUCUGUGGAUUUUGUCAGGAAAGGAGCAAUUCGCUAUGAGAGGGGUCCGCGGCUGAUUAGCUAGUUGGUGAGGUAAUGGCUCACCAAGGCUUCGAUCAGUAGCCGGUCUGAGAGGACGGUCGGCCACACUGGAACUGAGACACGGUCCAGACUCCUACGGGAGGCAGCAGUGGGGAAUUUUUCGCAAUGGGGGAAACCCUGACGAAGCAAUGCCGCGUGGAUGAUGAAGUAUCUCGGUACGUAAAAUCCUUUCGACGGGGACGAAGCCGCAAGGUUGACGGUACCCGUAGAAGAAGCCCCGGCUAACUCCGUGCCAGCAGCCGCGGUAAUACGGGGGGGGCAAGCGUUGUUCGGAAUUACUGGGCGUAAAGGGUGCGUAGGCGGCUUUCUAAGUCGGAUGUGAAAACUCUGGGCUCAACCCAGAGCCUGCAUCUGAAACUGGAGAGCUAGGGUUUUGGAGGGGAAAGCGGAAUUCCAGGUGUAGCGGUGAAAUGCGUAGAUAUCUGGAGGAACACCGGUGGCGAAGGCGGCUUUCUGGACAAAUACCGACGCUGAGGCACGAAAGCUAGGGGAGCAAACAGGAUUAGAUACCCUGGUAGUCCUAGCCCUAAACUAUGGAUACUUGCUGUGGGGGGGAUUGAAGCCCCUUGUGGCGAAGCUAACGCAUUAAGUAUCCCGCCUG
Molecule: ribosomal RNA, 810 nt
Filed under: uncultured Bacillota bacterium
Lineage: Bacteria; Bacillati; Bacillota
Description: bacterial SSU rRNA
Rfam family: Bacterial small subunit ribosomal RNA
Source: RNAcentral